Thalassophryne amazonica is the source of this 163-nucleotide long non-coding RNA. RefSeq lists it as uncharacterized. Lineage: Eukaryota; Metazoa; Chordata; Actinopteri; Batrachoidiformes; Batrachoididae. The record is from RefSeq and is a predicted model, not a curated record. The transcript is spliced from 3 exons.
AGUUAUGAGAAAUAGUAGAAGCUAGGCUUAGAAAACAGGUGAAGAUCUGUGAGCAGCAAUAUAGCUUCAUGGUGAGAAAGAGCACUACAGAUGCAAUGUUUGCUCUGAGAAUACUGAUGGAGAAAUAUAGAGAAGGACAGAAGGGGCACUACAGAUGCAAAGU